GCUUCAUUAAUAGGCUCACGAUUCAACUUUGAUCGUUAUGGGCUACUACCAAGAUCUAGUCCUACACAAUUGGACCUGAUUUUAACAGCUGGCACCGUAACCAUGAACAUGGCUCCUUCUUUUCUGAUGAAAUUAUUUAUUAUUCAUUAAUUUCAACUCACAAUUUCAUUAAUAAGAGGAAUCCCAUAGUAUCAAUGUAUAAAAAAUAAAGUGAGCAUGAACGAACUCCAAUAAAAGAGACAUUUUUCCAAUAUUUAAUUUUUAGAAAAGGAAAAAAAGAUCACAUUGUACAUUACAUAACCUUCCCAAUAACAUAUGCAUAUCAAGGCUGAUAACCAAAACCAUGACUGGAAGCACUAAAAAAGCCUGCAUAGGCUAUGAGAUCAAUACUAUAUCAUAUGUCAAACUCAAAUUGACUAGGUUCUUCACUAACUCCCAUGUUCACAGUUGACCUAAGACUUUCGGUUCAAUAGGAUUUCAGAAACUACAGCUCUCCAGGAAAUUUUUCACGAAGGGGAUCGAUAAAAAAAUGGAACUUUAAAAUAGUAAGGGGUCCUCCAUGAAAUUAUGCGCAUAGAUACAAUAAAUUUUUAGAAAAAUAACAUAAAAUCAUAACAGUAAAUUGAUUAUGAAAAACCACUCUCUCAUUAAAGUAAUAGAAGAUGGAGAAGCAAAGCAAAAAAAUUAACUAAAGCAUGGAGAAGGUACAGUAUAAAAAAUAAUCUAAUUUAUAAUUAAAAGGCACACUUAGAAGUGGUGAGUGAUGAUAUAUAAAAAGGACAGUUCCAAU
RNAcentral lists this unclassified non-coding RNA (790 nucleotides) under Hevea brasiliensis (rubber tree). Lineage: Eukaryota; Viridiplantae; Streptophyta; Magnoliopsida; Malpighiales; Euphorbiaceae. The record is from RNAcentral.